AACUAACAAGGAUUCCCCUAGUAACUGCGAGUGAAGCGGGAAAAGCUCAAAUUUAAAAUCUGGCAGUCUUUGGCUGUCCGAGUUGUAAUCUAGAGAAGCAUUAUCCGCGCUGGACCGUGUACAAGUCUCCUGGAAUGGAGCGUCAUAGAGGGUGAGAAUCCCGUCUUUGACACGGACUGCCAGGGCUUUGUGAUGUGCUCUCAAAGAGUCGAGUUGUUUGGGAAUGCAGCUCAAAAUGGGUGGUAAAUUCCAUCUAAAGCUAAAUAUUGGCGAGAGACCGAUAGCGAACAAGUACCGUGAGGGAAAGAUGAAAAGAACUUUGGAAAGAGAGUUAAACAGUACGUGAAAUUGCUGAAAGGGAAACGCUUGAAGUCAGUCGCGUUGGCCAGGAAUCAACCUUGCUUUUUUUUUGCUUGGCUUACUUCCUGGUCGAUGGGUCAGCAUCAAUUUUGACUGGUGGAAAAAGUUCAAGGGAAUGUGGCAUCUUCGGAUGUGUUAUAGCCUUUGCUCGCAUACAUCAGUUGGGAUUGAGGAACUCAGCACGCCGCAAGGCCGGGUUUUUAACCACGUACGUGCUUAGGAUGCUGGCAUAAUGGCUUUAAUCGACCCGUCUUGAAACACGGACCAAGGAGUCUAACAUGCCUGCGAGUGUUUGGGUGGAAAACCCGAGCGCGUAAUGAAAGUGAAAGUUGAGAUCCCU
RNAcentral lists this ribosomal RNA (700 nucleotides) under Laccaria masoniae. RNAcentral's name for it is "eukaryotic LSU rRNA". It matches the Rfam family "Eukaryotic large subunit ribosomal RNA", at positions 63 to 745 of the family's 3401-position model. Lineage: Eukaryota; Fungi; Basidiomycota; Agaricomycetes; Agaricales; Hydnangiaceae. The record is from RNAcentral.